AGUGAACGCUGGCGGUAGGCCUAACACAUACAAGUCGAACGGCAGCACAGUAAGAGCUUGCUCUUACGGGUGGCGAGUGGCGGACGGGUGAGGAAUACAUCGGAAUCUACUUUUUCGUGGGGGAUAACGUAGGGAAACUUACGCUAAUACCGCAUACGACCUACGGGUGAAAGCAGGGGAUCUUCGGACCUUGCGCGAUUGAAUGAGCCGAUGUCGGAUUAGCUGGUUGGCGGGGUAAAGGCCCACCAAGGCGACGAUCCGUAGCUGGUCUGAGAGGAUGACCGGCAACAUUGGACUUGGGCAACGGUCCAGACCCCUCCGGGAGGCAGCGGUGGGGAUUAUUGGAAAAUGGGCGCAAGCCUGAUCCAGCCAUACCGCGUGGGUGAAGAAGGCCUUCGGGUUGUAAAGCCCUUUUGUUGGGAAAGAAAAGCAGCAGGUUAAUACCCCGCUGUUCUGCCGGUACCCAAAGAAUAAGCACCGGCUACCUUCGU
RNAcentral lists this ribosomal RNA (491 nucleotides) under uncultured bacterium. Its description in RNAcentral is "partial 16S ribosomal RNA". It matches the Rfam family "Bacterial small subunit ribosomal RNA", at positions 29 to 506 of the family's 1533-position model. The record is from RNAcentral.